This 440-nucleotide ribosomal RNA is filed under the name uncultured bacterium. RNAcentral describes it as "partial 16S ribosomal RNA". It matches the Rfam family "Bacterial small subunit ribosomal RNA", at positions 338 to 795 of the family's 1533-position model. The record is from RNAcentral.
CCUACGGGUGGCAGCAGUGAGGAAUAUUGGUCAAUGGGGGAAACCCUGAUGCAGCGACGCCGCGUGAGCGAUGAAGUAUUUCGGUAUGUAAAGCUCUAUCAGCAGGGAAGAAAAUGACGGUACCUGACUAAGAAGCCCCGGUUAACUACGUGUCAGCAGCCGCGGUAAUACGUAGGGGGCAAGCGUUUUCCGGAUAUACUGGGUGUAAAGGGAGCGUAGACGGCGGUGCAAGCCAGAUGUGAAAGCCCGGGGCUCAACCCCGGGACUGCAUUUGGAACUGUGCUGCUAGAGUGUCGGAGAGGCAGGCGGAAGUCCUAGUGUAGCGGUGAAAUGCGUAGAUAUUAGGAGGAACACCAGUGGCGAAGGCGGCCUGCUGGACGAUGACUGACGUUGAGGCUCGAAAGCGUGGGGAGCAAACAGGAUUAGAUACCCCUGUAGUC